Molecule: long non-coding RNA, 1238 nt
Organism: Quercus robur (English oak)
Lineage: Eukaryota; Viridiplantae; Streptophyta; Magnoliopsida; Fagales; Fagaceae
Exons: 2
Source: RefSeq, a predicted model, not a curated record
AUUUAAAAAUUCACCCUCAUUCAUUCUUCUUCUCUUCUUCUUUUUUCCUAUUCAUAUCUCUCUCUGCAACUCUUCACUCCUCCGUUCUCUACUUCACUCUAAAUUUCAGAAUUUUCAAAAAAUCCCUUAGUCACUGUUGCUGCUACCACUAUCUCGCCAAACCACCAUCAUCACAUGGACCAAGUCUCGAACCAAUCACCAUUACGCCACCCACAAGCCACCGUUGCGGCCUCUCUCUCCCCCAACGAUCUAUCAACCCCUGCUACGCCUUCACUUGCUCCACUGCCUAGCAUCUUCAAACUGCACCGCCGGCACUGUCACUUCUCAAUAAGUUUUCUCUCUGAUUUUUCAUGUAUAUUGGGAACACGAAAGAAAAUAAUUAUAAUUUGACAUUGCAAUCUUUUCGAUUUUUUUUUUUUUUUUGGUUAGUUAUGAGCUUAGGGAUUGAAAUCAGAUGGUGGGUUUUUUGGCUGUGGGAUUUGUGGGUUCUUUUAAUCUGGGUCUUUUUUUUUUUUUUGUAAAGUUGUGAUUUUUUUUUUUUUUCAUUCCCAUGGUGGUGAUUUGUACUGAGAGCCAAGAAAUUUUUGAUGGGUAUAUUGUUUUGCUCAGUAUUAUGGGUUGGGUUAUUUAUUUAUGAACUAGAACAGAAUUUUAAUGCUUCUUCAUUGUUGAACUUGAAAGGCACUAUGACUCUAUGAGUACCUUUAUUUAACUUAAGUUGGACAUAUAGGUGAUAUAUAUGGACAAUUUAGAGUCUUGAUUUUUUUUAGUAGGGUAUUGCAAAGAAGAUUGGGCAUAUCAAAAUCUGCUGGUGAUUAGAAUAAUUCAUUAUUACAAAACUUGCAUCAAUGUGAAGUUCUAAAUUUAUACAGUACUUUAAUGUAUUCAUUUGCAGUUAGAUGGCAUUAGAUUUGAUGAUGGAGAGUCUUCAUUGGAGGUCUCUCAAAGUUGAAAAGGUAGAUUUUGCAGUGCACAGGUACUGUAGCAUUAGCGGAAUGCUUACCUUUUGUACUUGUUGGUUGUGAUCUUGCUAGUAGUAAUCUGGGUUGGUUUUGAUGUAGCUUGUUGGAAAGCUAUAGCAAGAGCUAAAGACCAUGGGUGUGAUUCUUGUUGCAGUGAUACUAGGCAAUUUGACAAUGGUAGUAAACAAAAGGUUUGAUAGUUCAUGUACAGGCAAAAUUGGUUGUUUCUUUGCUAAGUUCAGUGUAUUCAUUGGCUAGCUAUGCUAGCUCUUGAUA